RNAcentral lists this long non-coding RNA (1779 nucleotides) under Pandoravirus dulcis. RNAcentral's name for it is "putative ncRNA". The record is from RNAcentral.
CGUCGCGCGUGCGUCGCCACGGUGUCCCUGUGCGUAUAGGGUAUUGAGCGUGGCGCAGCCGUCGUGGUCGGGGUCGUGGCCCGCCGCCAGUUGGCACAGGAAGGCGCUGUCUUUACACGGGCCGGCACCGAUGAGACCGGCCUUGGCGAGCACGGCCAGACAGUAGGGGUCGGUAUUGCAAAUGGCCGCGGCUCCGGCGACGGGGUCCCACGGGAAGCCGUGCGCCAAGAGGUAAUCGAGCGCCUUGUGUUGGCGACGCUUGACUGCCAAGAGGCAAAAUUUGGCAUGGCGCGGACAGUCGCAGCCCGUCUCGAUCAUCCAUCGAUAGAGCGUGCCGUCUCUGGAGACGGCCUUUAAGAGGCACGACUCGAUGUUCCAUGCGAGGCCGCGGUCGAUGGCCCAUCGCAUGAGAUCCGCACAACCGUGACUUGCCAGACGGGUCGCCAUGUCGGCAUCCCAGGACACGCCCGCGGUCAAGAGCGCGUCAAUCAUCCCUGGCUCCCCACAAUCGAUGGCCUCGUACAUGUCGCUUGGGGUCCACGUGUAGCCGCGCGCCGUCAGGAGAGGCACCGACGUGACGUCAUGUCCAUAGAUCACGGCUUCGCCGGCAUCCUCGUCCAUGGGAUGGCCCAAGUCGAGCGCCAACGCGAGGCUCCGUGCACCGCCGGCAGCCGCCAUGACGAGUGCACGAUUAUCCCAGGGGCAGCCAUUGGCGAUCAGGUAGCGCAGGCACGUCAAGCGCGCGUCGAGGCUGGCACACACGUCCACGUCGGCACCGGGGAGCCGGCGCUCAAAAGAUUUUGGGUCGAGCGCCGCCGCGGUGGCCCGCUCGUCCCACGGGCAGCCGUGUCGGUGUAGGUAGACAAGGCAGUCGAUGUGACCGCCCGAGGUGGCUCCGGCAGUCGCUGUGUCAUCCCAUGCAAAGCCGGCCGCACGAGCGUACUCGAUGCACGGCAGGUGACCGCCUGCUGCCGCAGCGGCGCACACACGCGCGUCGCUCCUGGUGGCGCCCGUUUCGCACAUGGCCUUGAGGACCUGGAUAUGGCCAACGCCCGCCGCGGCGACCGCCAACUCGUCCACCUUCCAUUUGGCGCCGCGUCGGGCAAAGCGCACGGCCAGGCCAAAGCGGCCUCGGGCCGUCGCUGCGGCGCACGCAUCGGCCGUCUGCGUGUGCCCUCGCGCCAGAGCGCACUCGAUGCAGUCGACGUGAAACAGGUCGACGGCCGACGCGUAGGGGUCCAUCUUCCGGGUAUAACCGUGGCAGCACACCUCGGUCGGGCAGGCCGACUCGUCCAAGGCGACGGCCCGCCAGUGACGACAGACGCUCGCGACGCCGCCAUAGAGCCUGUCCAGGCACGGCACGUGGGCCAUGAUCAACGCGAGCAAUUCGUCGGGCAGGUCGCCGAUGGUGGUGGCUUUGGUCGUGUCGGUUGGCACAUCGCUUCCGGCCGACGCCGUUGCCGCAUGCGCGUCCCUAGGUCGGAUGGGACGCACACGUGUUUUCGAGGACCGCUUGGCGCAUGUUGUUGUGAUGUGCGCCUUGCGCUUGGUACCGUGUGGUGCACUGGCGGGAGCAACGCAAUCCCCGUGCGACGCCGACGUCGCCGUGGAAGAAUAGGCUGCAGGCGCGGCGACGCGACGAGAGCGACCACUGCGUGGCGCUUUGGGUUGCGCUGCCUCUCGAAGUUGCGAUGUUGCCAUCUUGUUGUCGCGAUGGCGAUCGCUGUGGAAAAAAACGGUUUAUCUUUUCGACAGGCCGCAUAGAUUGUGCCUUUUUUU